This 108-nucleotide small nuclear RNA is filed under the name Sciurus vulgaris (Eurasian red squirrel). Lineage: Eukaryota; Metazoa; Chordata; Mammalia; Rodentia; Sciuridae. The record is from RNAcentral.
UUGUACUUACUUUGGCCACACACAUACUAAAACUGGAGUGAUACAGAGUAUUAGUAUGCCCCCUUGCACGAGAAUGACAUGAAAAUUUGUGAUGUGUUUUACAUUUCU